This is an RNA transcript of Sander lucioperca (pikeperch), 1271 nucleotides long. It is a transcript of the gene named exosome component 6, with no coding region annotated. The transcript has 3 exons. The record is from RefSeq and is a predicted model, not a curated record. Lineage: Eukaryota; Metazoa; Chordata; Actinopteri; Perciformes; Percidae.
ACGCAAUAGCGGAAUCAUUUCUCUGCUUGCUGUUUCCGGGGGACAGGUUUGUGCUGGACUUCCACACACACAUAUGCGCGCUGUUUGGGUAGUUCACUCCCUUCAUUUCACUGCACCAUGCCGACUGAUACCAAACGUGUACGUGGCCCAGAAGUGUCCCAAAGUCCGUCUUUGUUUUUGUGCAAACCCGCGGCCGUUCUUCCCUCGCAAGGCCCCAGAGCGGACGGUCGGCAGCGGGAUCAAGUGGACGUCCGGCCUGUUUUUGUCCGGUGCGGGCUGGUGAGCCAGGCUAAAGGCUCUGCUUACAUCGAGGCUGGAAACACCAAGUUGAUGUGCUGCGUUUAUGGCCCCAGAGAAACAGAGCGGAAAGAUGAGACCGAUAUGAAAUGUGGAAGGUUGACUACUGACAUGCGUUUUGCUCCAUUUUCCUGCCUUGAGAGGGGCUCCUGGAUUCAGGGAAGCCAGGACAAGGACCUCUCCCUGAUGCUGCAUGAGAGUCUGCAGCCAGCCGUGUGCCUCAACAAAUAUCCUCGUUCUCAGAUCGAGGUCAACGUGAUGGUUCUUGAGAACAGCGGUUCAGUUCUGGCCCACGCAGUCACAUGCGCUUCUCUCGCCCUUGCAGAUGCAGGGAUCGAAAUGUAUGACCUGGUGCUUGGUUGUUCCAUACGCCAGGAUGGCGUCUCUUAUGUGGUUGACCCUUCUUAUAUGGAGGAAAACAGCUGCAGCUCAGCCAGCAGCCAUAACCAGGGCGGUCUGACUGUUGCGUUCCUCCCCAGCCUCAACCAGAUUUCUGGGCUGCAGUCAGAUGGAGAAAUGACUGAAGAGACUCUGGCAGCCGGGGUUCGGACCUGCAUUGAGGGAUGUUAUAAACUGUACCCGGUCAUCCAACAAGCCCUGGCAAAGGCUGUGCGCAGGGCUGCGCCCCCACCAUCAGAGAGCUGAGACACUCAUUAACCCAGAACUGCUUAGUUCGUAGUUUUUCUACUUUACAUUUUCAGGUCCUUUCUUUGACAACAAUACCUGUUUCUAUGUUUGCUAUUCAAUUCUUUAAAUACAAAUUGAUAAUAAUUUAAGAAUGCACAUAUAUGGAACUUUAAUUAACUUCACUCAACUUCUGGAUUGUGUCAUCAACAAUUGAUUGCAUUGCAUCACAGGGGUUUUUCAGCAGCUCCAGAGCAGCUGCCAUUAUGCAGGAUCAUUACUAAUACUAGCCUGACCUGAAUAACUGGACGUAAGAAAUGCACAGAUAAAUAAUAAAGUGGAUAAAUCAA